CUGCGGCCUAUCAGCUUGUUGGUGAGGUAAAGGCCCACCAAGGCUAUUACAGGUACGGGCUCUGAGAGGAGAAGCCCGGAGAUGGGUACUGAGACACGGACCCAGGCCCUAUGGGGCGCAGCAGGCGAGAAAACUUUGCAAUGUGCGAAAGCACGACGAGGUUAAUCCGAGUGAUUUCUGCUAAAGGAAUCUUUUGCCAGUCCUAAAAACACUGGUGAAUAAGGGGUGGGCAAGUUCUGGUGUCAGCCGCCGCGGUAAAACCAGCACCUCAAGUUGUCAGGAGGAUUAUUGGGCCUAAAGCAUCCGUAGCCGGCUCUGUUAGUUUUCGGUUAAAUCCAUAUGCUCAACAUAUGGGCUGUCGAAAAUACUGCAGAGCUAGGGAAUGGGAGAGGUAGACGGUACUUGGUAGGAAGGGGUAAAAUCCUUUGAUCUAUCGAUGACCACCUGUGGCGAAGGCGGUCUACCAGAACAUGU
Molecule: ribosomal RNA, 474 nt
Filed under: uncultured Nitrososphaerota archaeon
Lineage: Archaea; Thermoproteati; Nitrososphaerota
Description: bacterial SSU rRNA
Rfam family: Archaeal small subunit ribosomal RNA
Source: RNAcentral